RNAcentral lists this long non-coding RNA (2081 nucleotides) under Ananas comosus (pineapple). RNAcentral describes it as "long non-coding RNA (ACOM_LNC009635)". The record is from RNAcentral. Lineage: Eukaryota; Viridiplantae; Streptophyta; Magnoliopsida; Poales; Bromeliaceae.
AAUAAGCACUGUAAAGAUUAUUUAUUGCAGUCAAAUAUAAUCAAGAACGUACUGUAACAGCAGUGGGGGUGCAGAAUGUUGUGGGGAUAGUAGGAUCAGAAUUCUUGUGUUAAUACCACUUAUACCAACUACUAAUAAGAACUAUAUAAAUAGAACAGAAUAGCCAGAAGAAAAAAAAACCUAAAAUUUCAAUAUCUACGGACACUGCAAGAAGAUCGGGUAACUGAGGCGGUUCAAGAUCUUUCAGUUCUUCCCUAUGAGCAAAAUUAAAUUAAAGGGACAAUUGCUUAUACACCCCUGAAAAUUUUUCGACUUUUUGAUUUACCCCUGUUAGAAGGUUAAUAUUAAAAAUACUUUUUUUACGUUCCAACCUAUUCCCUAGAGUUAAAUUCUGUUAAUGAACUAUUAGUAAUAGCUGUUAUCGCUAUAAAAUUACUAAUUUUUUCUUUCAAAUAUGCCCUUCUACCAUAACUGACUUUUUUUAUUUGCCCUUAAGUUAGGGGCACAAAAAAAAAAUAAUAAUUUUUGGUCUUCUCAAAUAUACCCUCCUACCAUCACAAAUAUUUCUUAUUUACCCUUAGGGUGCGUUUGGUUCGAGUUAUCCUGUCAGGAUUACAGGCAAUCCUGUCAGGAUAACUGUGUUUGGUUAAUCCGCUAUAUAAUCUAGUCGUUAAUGUAGCAUUACAAAUCGAGCAGGAUUACAUCGAAAAUAUUAAUGGGAGGGGGGUCGUGUAUCUUGCAUUACUGAAAUCCGUUAAUACUACAUAUUAUGUAAAAUGACAAUUUUACCCUCCAACAACCCUAAUCUAAUUAACAGUAUUAUUUUCAUCUCUCUCUCGCCUUCCGCCCUCUCUCUCGCACACCGCUUUCUCUUGCUCUCUCUCUCUCUCUCGACGUCUCUCUCUCUCUCUCGCACGAACACGUAUCAUCUUCUAUUGCGUCGUCCUCCCAGGUAAUCAUCACAAUCUCCUUCCCUCCAUUCGUCAUUUUCGCAAAAAAUAAUAUUCAAAUAACCACAACAAGGGCAAUUUUGGAAAAAACUAUACUUUUAUGUCAGGAUUACUAAAUUUUAUAGACUGAACCAAACGUAUUAAUGCUAUAAAUACUGUAAUCUAGUAUUACAUUACUGCAUUAAACCAAACGCGCUAAUGUAGCAUCAGUAGUAAUCUCACGCCGAAAUCCAAGAUACCUGGAUAUGUCGAGAUACUUUGUAAUAUUACAUAACUCGAACCAAACGGGCCCUUAAGUUAAGAGCAAAAGAGAUAUUUUAAAAUUUUUUUUAACUCUAGUAGAUAUUUAACUCCUGUUGAAGGUAAGUUAACUUAAUGGAUGGUAAUUGCAAGGGUAUUUUGAAAUAAUGGAGGAAUAUAUGACGAAAGAAAAAAAAUAAUAGGUGGAUCAAAUAUUUUCAAAGUUUUGAGGGGUAUAUAGGCAAUUAUCUCUAAAUUAAAUAAUAUUUAGAUACAUCAAAUUCAACUUUGUUGUUAACUCAAAUCAGAAUAGAUGAAAGUUAAGAAGUGUCUAUGAAUCAAAAAAACAAAAAUUAAACAUAAUAAUAUUAGAGAUAAUAACGUUUUAAACAUAAUAAUAUUUUAACUGUUAGAGAUAAUAAAUGUUUUAAACAUAAUUUUAAAUGUAAAAAAUAAAAAGAUUAAGAUUACUGGUCAAGAAAAAAAAAUAGUUAGGAACCUUGAAUCCGAAGCCGGCUAUCAAUUGCAAAAUCCAUUUCCGAACUAGACAAAUUUCAAAAUUUUUAUCUAAAUUCGAAACUGGCCAAAAAUUCAAAAUCCAACACCAAAUCCAAACUCGAAGAUCCAAACAUGAAUAAUUAUUUCUCUUUACCAUAUUUCAAAAUAUGUUAUAUUAAAUCUAAAUUUUUAAAAUAUAAUUUCAAGACUAUGUUGCCAAAUAAUUUGAAAGUUUUUUCAUAUAAAAACAAAGAAAUUAAUAUAGUGGAGAUAAAAUUACUUAAUUACUUAUGUAUUAAAUAACAAAAAUAUCUCUCUUUAAAUUAAAUCUGAGUCAUAAAAUAGAAAUGAAUGAAUGACAUAGAAUAAUAACAAGUAAAAAAGCUUUACUCA